UUCAAGAGAUACUGAGAUAGCAAUGGGAGCAUACCAGCCGAGUCACACUUGGGGAAAUAAGAGGAGACAUCCACGAGGCCAGGUAUAUGGAUACAGAAUGUCACUCUGGGCAGAACACUUGGGAUUGGUUGAUAGAUUGUUUGAAGAGCCUGAAACUUUGGAUUGUGUGAAUACUGUGAACAAAAUUGCUGAAGAUAACUGGAGGAGGUUCACAGAGAAGGAAUUUUCGCCAUUGCAGGGGCACCUCCUUAAAUACCCUCUGAAGGUAGAUGUCAAUGGCAAAGUAAGCCCCUUGCCUGGACAAGAGAAUUUCCCAGAUGUUGGUGGAAAGGUGCUUGGAGCUCGUUCUACCCUUCCUGAUGCAUUAACUACAUAGCAAGUCCAUGCUUCUGUUUCUAAUUCACACGGUAUCUCACUUUGACUGUUGAGAGGCAGGCUAUAGUUUGUACUGAUAUGAAGCUCAGUUACUCUAGGAGCCUUACGAGAGUCUUAAAU
RNAcentral lists this unclassified non-coding RNA (495 nucleotides) under Hevea brasiliensis (rubber tree). The record is from RNAcentral. Lineage: Eukaryota; Viridiplantae; Streptophyta; Magnoliopsida; Malpighiales; Euphorbiaceae.